This 392-nucleotide ribosomal RNA is filed under the name Aureococcus sp. Its description in RNAcentral is "partial small subunit ribosomal RNA". It matches the Rfam family "Eukaryotic small subunit ribosomal RNA", at positions 582 to 975 of the family's 1831-position model. Lineage: Eukaryota; Pelagophyceae; Pelagomonadales; Pelagomonadaceae. The record is from RNAcentral.
AUUCCAGCUCCAAUAGCGUAUAUUAAUGUUGUUGCAGUUAAAAAGCUCGUAGUUGGAUUCCUGGCACGGGGUAGCCGGUCCGCCUUGCAAAAGGUGCGCACUGAGCGGCCUCGGCCAUCCUUGCGAUGGUCUAUCCUGGCAUUCAGUUGUCGGGGUGGGGAUUCGCGACGUUUACUGUGAAAAAAUCAGAGUGUUCAACGCAGGCUUACGCCUUGAAUACAUUAGCAUGGAAUAAUAAGAUAGGACCUCGGUUCUAUUUGUUGGUUUCUAGAGCUGAGGUAAUGAUUAAUAGGGAUAGUUGGGGGUAUUCAUAUCUAAUUGUCAGAGGUGAAAUUCUUGGAUUUAUGAAAGAUGAACUCAUGCGAAAGCAUUUACCAAGGAUGUUUUCAUUA